RNAcentral lists this long non-coding RNA (1481 nucleotides) under Canis lupus familiaris (dog). Its description in RNAcentral is "lncRNA (ENSCAFG00845011657.1)". The record is from RNAcentral. Lineage: Eukaryota; Metazoa; Chordata; Mammalia; Carnivora; Canidae.
AAAAACCCCACAGCCCAGGGGAGGAGCAGCGGUUAAAGCCCAAAGUGGCCAAGCAGCAGCGCGCGCCCCAGGCUCCCCGGGCCCCGCCGCCCCGCCCAGGCCAGGCCCCCGCGGCCGCGCCUCCGGGCUCCAACGGCCUCAACGGAAGGCGGCGCGGGGGGCAGAGGCGCAUCAGUCUGGGGGGGACCCGGGCGGGGGGCGUUGGGGAAGCCGCGGCCUGGACCGGGACCCACAGCGGCGGCUCCACCUGGGGCAGGGCUCUGACCCGCACUCGGCCUGCGGUGUGCACGUCUAGUAGGAGACAAUCACUAAUUGCCUGCUGACUAGAUCGUCAAACAAAAUUCUGAUGACCAGCUGGCUCUAAUUAUUGUCAUUCCUUUGCAGGCCAAGUAUCCCAAAUAGAGUCUGGCAUAGAGAAGUCAAUAGAUGCUUGUGGAAUUGAAUCAGCAUGGACAUGAAGGUACAAUUCCCGCAUGUCCAACACUUAUGAAAAUUAAACAUUCCAUUACAUGUGAACAUCUACAGCUCAACAUGUAAUGCACAUGGGAAUAGAAUUUGAAAUUGUUUCAUGAACUACUGUCCCAAACUUGAAAAAUGAAAUCUGCAUGAAGUAGAUAAUUUGCAGGUAGGAAAAAAGGCUACAAAGGGCCUUGGUGAUAAGUCAAAGGCAUCUGAUAGGACUAAAAGAAGAUGGCAAUAAUUUACAUUAGCUGAGGGAAAAAAUGGGAGGAAAUGGAAAAACUCUAAGGAAACAAGUUUUUGUUGAUCAGGGAAUUCCUUACUUCUUCUCUAUGAGGAACGUAUCACACUGAACCUUGCACAGUUAAACUUGACAAAAUUUGGUUUCAUCUUCCUCCCUUCCUUUUUGCUAGUCUAUAUGGUUAAGAGAUGACCAAUAUGAAUGGAAGUUCACAAAAUGAUUAUCAUGAAAACUAAACUUUUAAUUCUGCCUUGGACGUCCAUAUACAGCUUGCUUUAAAGUCUUAGGAACACCUUUUUACAUGAGCAGAAUGGCUUUACAUAAUGGCCCCAGAUGCUUCAUUACAAAAGAGAUAAUGUACCUUCUUCAACACCUCAAGCUGAGCAUCCCUGACUGCUCUUCAGUGAGUGAGCCAAUUAUGUCAGUUAGUUGGCAAGGGACUAGAGCAAGUUGCUACUAUCAUGUGAUUCUGUUUACUUUCCUGUGAUACUUCCUAUGAAAAGGAACUUUACAGCAUUGUUCUAUCUUUUCUAUUCUCCCAUUAGUCUGUUUUUCCUGAGACACAUAUUCUUACGCUUUAGGUUAUCAUGAACUAUUGGUGAGACCAUGGCUGAUUUGCAAGAUUGACUUGCACACUGAACUCAACUUGAUUUUGUAAACAGCUAAUGCAAAGAGAGAUACUCUGGGUCUAAGCAAUUCUCUAUUCAAAGUCUUGUGCAUUCAGGCAAAACUGAAUUCCCAAUCUUGAUAUGUUGUGAGUCUAUAAUUUUAGAAGAGAUGC